Molecule: non-coding RNA, 183 nt
Filed under: Maridesulfovibrio hydrothermalis AM13 = DSM 14728
Lineage: Bacteria; Pseudomonadati; Thermodesulfobacteriota; Desulfovibrionia; Desulfovibrionales; Desulfovibrionaceae
Description: Desulfovibrio hydrothermalis AM13 = DSM 14728 6S
Rfam family: 6S / SsrS RNA
About the family: E. coli 6S RNA was the first non coding RNA to be sequenced, but its function was unknown until recently. It consists of 184 nucleotides that fold into an extended hairpin structure with a large single-stranded internal bulge.
Source: RNAcentral
AUUUCCCUGGGGAGUGCGUGAUUGCCCUAUGGCUUUUGAACCAAUAUAAGAAAGUAAGGGAGCAAGCAUCAUCGGAGUGGUGAGCAAGCCCGGUUUAGCCGGGAAGCCUAAAACUCCGUGGCAGCGCCCACCUGUUAGACCCGGUUCUAACGUAUAAGGCAACACGGCAUCUCCGGGGUCCCU